AGGACGAACGCUGGCGGCGUGCUUAACACAUGCAAGUCGAGCGGAAAGGCCCUUCGGGGUACUCGAGCGGCGAACGGGUGAGUAACACGUGAGUAACCUGCCCCUAGCUCUGGGAUAGCUCCGGGAAACCGGGAUUAAUACCAGAUACGACCACUUUAGACAUCUGUCGUGGUGGAAAGGAUUCCGGCUAGGGAUGGGCUCGCGGCCUAUCAGCUUGUUGGUGGGGUAACGCCUACCAAGGCGACGACGGGUAGCCGGCCUGAGAGGGCGACCGGGCCAACGACUGGGACUGAGACACGGCCCAGACACCUACGGGUGGCAGCAGUCGAGAAUUUUGACAAUGGGGGAAACCCUGAUCGAGCGACGCCGCGUGGAGGAUGAAGGUCUUCGGAUUGUAAACUCCCGUCAUUGGGGAACAAGGUGCAUACGUUAACUGCGUGUGUAUUGAUAGUACCCGAAGAGGAAGAGACGGCUAACUCUGUGCCAGCAGCCGC
This 494-nucleotide ribosomal RNA is filed under the name uncultured bacterium. RNAcentral's name for it is "SSU rRNA". It matches the Rfam family "Bacterial small subunit ribosomal RNA", at positions 26 to 518 of the family's 1533-position model. The record is from RNAcentral.